RNAcentral lists this ribosomal RNA (479 nucleotides) under uncultured anaerobic ammonium-oxidizing bacterium. RNAcentral's name for it is "bacterial SSU rRNA". It matches the Rfam family "Bacterial small subunit ribosomal RNA", at positions 364 to 833 of the family's 1533-position model. The record is from RNAcentral.
UUUCGCAAUGCCCGAAAGGGUGACGAAGCGACGCCGCGUGAGUGAGGAAGGCCUUCGGGUUGUAAAGCUCUGUCAGGAGUUAAGAAAUAUAAGUGUGCUAAUACCACAUUUAUUUGACAAAAGCUCCAAAGGAAGCCACGGCUAACUCUGUGCCAGCAGCCGCGGUAAUACAGAGGUGGCAAGCAUUGUUCGGAAUUAUUGGGCGUAAAGAGCACGUAGGUGGGUUUGUAAGUCAGAUGUGAAAGCCUUCUGUUCAACGGAAGAAUUGCAUCUGAAACUGCGAGUCUUGAGUGUAGGAGGGGAGAAUGGAACUUCUGGUGGAGCGGUGAAAUGCGUAGAUAUCAGAAGGAACGCCGGCGGCGAAAGCGAUUCUCUGGCCUAUUACUGACACUCAGUGUGCGAAAGCUAGGGGAGCAAACGGGAUUAGAUACCCCGGUAGUCCUAGCUGUAAACGAUGGGCACUAAGUAGAGGGGUUUUA